CUGCAGGGAUGCCAGCUGCAGUGGGGGAGGCGCAGCCAGGGCUGUGCACUCCAUGGAGCUGGCAGGAGCUGGGAACAGG
This 79-nucleotide microRNA precursor is filed under the name Chlorocebus sabaeus (green monkey). RNAcentral's name for it is "miRNA (ENSCSAG00000021930.1)". The record is from RNAcentral. Lineage: Eukaryota; Metazoa; Chordata; Mammalia; Primates; Cercopithecidae.